RNAcentral lists this ribosomal RNA (253 nucleotides) under uncultured bacterium. RNAcentral's name for it is "partial 16S ribosomal RNA". It matches the Rfam family "Bacterial small subunit ribosomal RNA", at positions 524 to 776 of the family's 1533-position model. The record is from RNAcentral.
UACGAAGGGGGCGAGCGUUGUUCGGAAUUACUGGGCGUAAAGGGCGCGCAGGCGGCUCUUCAAGUCAGGCGUGAAAGCCCCGGCCUUAACCUGGGAAUUGCGCUUGGGACUGGAGGGCUUGAGUACGGGAGAGGAGAGUGGAAUUCCCAGUGUAGAGGUGAAAUUCGUAGAUAUUGGGAAGAACACCGGUGGCGAAGGCGGCUCUCUGGACCGUAACUGACGCUGAGGCGCGAAAGCGUGGGGAGCAAACAGG